RNAcentral lists this ribosomal RNA (468 nucleotides) under uncultured bacterium. RNAcentral describes it as "partial 16S ribosomal RNA". It matches the Rfam family "Bacterial small subunit ribosomal RNA", at positions 28 to 507 of the family's 1533-position model. The record is from RNAcentral.
GACGAACGCUGGCGGCGUGCUUAACACAUGCAAGUCGAACGGAAAGGCCCUGCUUUUGUGGGGUGCUCGAGUGGCGAACGGGUGAGUAACACGUGAGUAACCUGCCCUUGACUUUGGGAUAACUUCAGGAAACUGGGGCUAAUACCGGAUAGGAGCUCCUGCUGCAUGGUGGGGGUUGGAAAGUUUCGGCGGUUGGGGAUGGACUCGCGGCUUAUCAGCUUGUUGGUGGGGUAGUGGCUUACCAAGGCUUUGACGGGUAGCCGGCCUGAGAGGGUGACCGGCCACAAUGGGACUGAGAUACGGCCCAGACUCCUACGGGAGGCAACAGUGGGGAAUAUUGCACAAUGGGCGGAAGCCUGAUGCAGCAACGCCGCGUGCGGGAUGACGGCCUUCGGGUUGUAAACCGCUUUCGCCUGUGACGAAGCGUGAGUGACGGUAAUGGGUAAAGAAGAACCGGCUAACUACGUG